Molecule: ribosomal RNA, 466 nt
Filed under: Vreelandella stevensii
Lineage: Bacteria; Pseudomonadati; Pseudomonadota; Gammaproteobacteria; Oceanospirillales; Halomonadaceae
Description: partial 16S ribosomal RNA
Rfam family: Bacterial small subunit ribosomal RNA
Source: RNAcentral
CCUACGGGCGGCAGCAGUGGGGAAUAUUGGACAAUGGGCGAAAGCCUGAUCCAGCCAUGCCGCGUGUGUGAAGAAGGCCUUCGGGUUGUAAAGCACUUUCAGUGGGGAAGAAAGCCUUGGGGCUAAUACCCUCGAGGAAGGACAUCACCCACAGAAGAAGCACCGGCUAACUCCGUGCCAGCAGCCGCGGUAAUACGGAGGGUGCGAGCGUUAAUCGGAAUUACUGGGCGUAAAGCGCGCGUAGGCGGUCUGAUAAGCCGGUUGUGAAAGCCCCGGGCUCAACCUGGGAACGGCAUCCGGAACUGUCAGGCUAGAGUGCAGGAGAGGAAGGUAGAAUUCCCGGUGUAGCGGUGAAAUGCGUAGAGAUCGGGAGGAAUACCAGUGGCGAAGGCGGCCUUCUGGACUGACACUGACGCUGAGGUGCGAAAGCGUGGGUAGCAAACAGGAUUAGAUACCCCGGGUCGUC